AACUAUUGAUGGAAUGAUGUUUGUUAAGGUUCAAACAUGAUAAGUGAUGAUUAGAGUAACUUGGGGUUUAAUGGAAUUUAACUUGUUUUUGAAAAAUCAAAGAUUGGAUUUUUGAAGUAUAAGGAACACUAUUUUUGUUUAUAAAAUCUGAAGCAAGAAUGCUAUUUUUGAUCCCUUUGCGCUCUGAAUUGGUUCUUGUCGUAAACAUGAAUGUUGUAGCCCUUUUUCUUAGCUUUCCAACGCAUUCUUACGUGUUUUAAUCGGAUGCUUGUAGCUCCAGUUUCGGCUUGUACAGUANNNNNNNNNNNNNNNNNNNNNNNNNNNNAGAAUUCUGCAGGAUGAACAGUACACGUAUAAUGCUACUGUAGCUGGCCGACACAACCCCUUUUGUUGAUUUAUGUACCCGGAACCUAUUUUGCUCAGUUUUUCGUGUAGAUUCCGAUUCCGGAGUUUGUUUUAUGAGAUGAUCUUGGUUAUUGGUGUUUGCUUAUAUUUUGGUAAUAAAGCAUGCUAAAUUAGUUUUGAUUAAUUGAAUUAAAUAACUAAUUGAUGUUGAUUAGUUUUAGUAUCUUUUGAGUAUGGAAUAAAUGUAUUUUCCAUGAGUUGAUGAUGAUAAGUAUGUUGUUAAGUCUUGUUGAUACAUUAUGUGUUGUUGAUUAAUGAUGAUGUAUUGAUGAUGAAUCAUAAUAUUAUUGAUUUAUGAUGUUGAUUUAAUUGAUGAUGAUAAAUAAUGAUUUAUCAUGAGUAGAUGUAUUCUAAAGACGGUGAUUUAGAAUAUUUGGAUUAUGUUAUCCAUAUUAUGUUGAUGUUAUAGUUGAGAUAAAACCAUAUAUUUGGUGGAUGCACAUUUCAUGCAUUCAUAAGUUGAGUCUAUUGAUGAGUAUCCUAGAGACGAU
RNAcentral lists this long non-coding RNA (896 nucleotides) under Trifolium pratense (red clover). Its description in RNAcentral is "long non-coding RNA (TPRA_LNC008382)". The record is from RNAcentral. Lineage: Eukaryota; Viridiplantae; Streptophyta; Magnoliopsida; Fabales; Fabaceae.